Salvia hispanica is the source of this 2702-nucleotide non-coding RNA. The record is from RefSeq and is a predicted model, not a curated record. NCBI's taxonomy places the organism in Eukaryota, Viridiplantae, Streptophyta, Magnoliopsida, Lamiales, Lamiaceae.
GCGACUAUCUUAGAAAAAUGCGUCUCCCUCCAAUUCCAUGAAAAUCGAACCAGGGAUUUUGGUAUUUUUAGGCGAGAUCCCCUUCACUUACUUCUUCCUCAAGUGAAGCAGGUUUCUGACAGUUGACACUAGAAGAACAUGCUUCAGGAUUUGAAAAAAAAAGGAUUUUUGUAAUCUGUUCCGACUCGGUACCAUUUUUGAAUAACUUAUAACAUCGAGCAGCUAUAAGAUUAACAGAGCGAAGCAUGGCUGAACCUCUGAUGAGAGAUUGUAGAAAAGCAUCAAAGACAUACGAAUUCAAGAGAUCAUCUUCAAGUCCCAAGGAUCAAGUUCAGCAAUCUAAAAGACCAAGGAAGGGGGAAAACCCUGUGCGAAUUCCACUGAAUCCUGACCAUUGUCUUGAUUUGAAAUCUUCUAAUUUGUGUAGAUGCAAAAAUUCUGCAUGUCGAGCCUCUCUUUCAAUAGAUGACACAUUUUGCAGGAGGUGCUCUUGCUGCAUUUGCCAUUUAUUUGAUGACAACAAGGACCCAAGUCUUUGGUUGGAGUGUGUAUCUGAUUCUGGUGUACGAAACUCUUGUGGUUUGUCGUGCCACAUUGAAUGUGCACUCCAACAUGGUAAGGUUGGGGUUGUUGACCUGGGGCCAAUGAUGCAGUUGGAUGGAAGCUAUUGUUGUGCUUCGUGUGGAAAGGUUUCUGGGGUACUUAAAUGCUGGAAAAAGCAGCUGAGUAUAGCUAAGGAUUCUCGUUGUGUUGAUGUUCUAUGCUAUCGGAUAUAUUUGAGUUUCAGGCUCCUGGAUGGGACUUCUAGAUUCAGUGAGCUCCAUGAGAUUGUUAGAGAUGCAAAAUCCACAUUAGAAACAGAGGUUGGCCCAGUCAAUGGAGUUUCAGCAAAAAUGGGUCGGGGCAUUGUUAGUAGACUCUCUGUAGCUACUGAAGUGCAGAGGCUCUGCUCCCUUGCUUUUGAAAAAGCUGACAAACUGAUGGCCUCAAAGUCUACUGCACCCACCAAUUUUGUUGAGGGUUCACUUCCUGCAGCAUGCAAAUUCCUGUUUGAGGAAGUCACAUGUUCUUCAGUUGCACUUCUGUUGAUUGAAUUAUCAACUGCAUCAAUGAACGCCAUUAAGGGAUACAAACUCUGGUAUUGCAAGAAAAGAGUAGAGGUUUACUCUAAAGAGCCUGUUUUUGUCUUUCCAAGAGAUCAAAGGAGGAUAUGGAUAUCGAAUCUGCAGCCUUGCACGGAAUACUCGUUUCGGAUCAUAUCUUAUACAGAAGAUGGGGACUCUGGACACUCUGAAAUGAAGUUCUUUACAAAGAGUGUACAACUUAUUCACGAUAGCCAUUAUUCUAGUGCUGAAAGACCUGGAGUGGAUGCAUCACAUGGAGGGAGCUCUAGUUCCAAGAAAAACCACAGGACUGAAGAAAUAGAACUAGACUCGGGAUUCAAGGUUCGAGAUCUUGGAAGAAUAUUGAAGCUCGCUUGGCUGCAGAGUCAAGGCUAUUUGGAGUCAUUUUAUGGUUUACAUGUGAAUAGAUGUGUUAAUGAUCAUGCCGUAGUCAAGCUUGAAACUAAGCAAGCCAGGCCGCCUUAUGUUGCACGUCAACUUGACUUGAAUGUUGCUUCCGUGCCUGAUCUGAAUGAGGAGUUCACACCCCCUGUUGAGUCAUAUAGAGAAGAAGAAAACGGGUGCACUUUAGGGCAAGCUGUUGAGGCAGAUGAUGCUAUUUCUCACGGCAUACAUAGAAAAUGUGGAGAAGUACCUGCUGAUUCGAAGCUGGUUGGUUGCAAUAAAAGACCACAUAGCGGCAAUAGGGAGACACAGGAUUCUGAUAGCACUCUGACAAACGGAUCCCCGUUCCAAGUUCAGACUGAUCUAUGCUUGGAUGAGAACUUUGAAUACUGUGUAAAGAUCAUCCGUUGGCUGGAAUGCGAGGGCCAUAUUACGAAGGAUUUCAGAUUGAAGUUGCUGACGUGGUUCAGUCUAAGAUCCAGUGAGCAGGAACGCAGAGUGUUAAACACCUUUAUACAGACUUUAAUUGAUGAUCCGAGUAGUUUGGCAGAACAGUUGGUUGACUCAUUUUCAGAUUUAUCCGGCAAAAGGCCAUAAAAUGGCUCGGCUAGUGUUUUUUGCUGAAUGAACUUGGAGCAAUAUGUCCGUAUCAAUGGUCUAUUUAGCUGGCACAGAUAAGAAGCCGUUAUUCACGGUUUGGGACCCUCACGUUGUGUGAGCCAUGGUUACCUGUCUCUUCUUCCAUUUCCCCCUCCUCGCUGUCUCACUCAAUCUCUCUCUCUCAAGGUCCGUGUGAGCAUUUUUUGUGUAUACAUGUAUAAAAUCUCCGUCCUAAUGUAAUUGAGUCAUUUUUUAAGUGAUUAUUUCAUCUUUUGACAAAAGAAAUGCCUCGCAUGUUGUGGAAUGGAGGGAGUAAUAAAUUGAUCCCAUUAACCAUGGGGAAUUGAGCGGCAUCUUAGUUGUAUAAGGGUGCCCAAAUCUUGCAACAAAAAUGACAGCUAAAAGGUUUUAAAAAAAGUGGAGGUGUUUUUGUGCACAUGCCUUUCUCACAACAAAGACAAGUCUUUCUCAUCUCCAACAAAUUAGUCAGGCUCUUGCUUCUCCUUGUUCUUUACAACUAGAGCUACUCUCCAUAUUUCUAUGCUUCACCUAUGUUUUUUUUAAUCUUAGUUCAUAAUGAAAAUGGAAGAACUC